RNAcentral lists this long non-coding RNA (1327 nucleotides) under Numida meleagris (helmeted guineafowl). RNAcentral describes it as "lncRNA (ENSNMEG00000013095.1)". Lineage: Eukaryota; Metazoa; Chordata; Aves; Galliformes; Numididae. The record is from RNAcentral.
UACAUAGUUUGCAUUCAGGUGAUGGCAGAUGUAAUCACAAUUUUUUCUUCCUUUUCCAGAAAGAAGUGAUGGAGUCAUUAGUUUCACUCAUCUGGCUAAUAGGGCAGCAGAACAGCUGAUCCUCCUGGGUCUGGAGAUUCCUUCCUGAUGUCUCUCCUGCUCAGUGUUACACAACUCAGCAGAAUAUUGAGACGCAGUGGAAGAGCUGUUGCACGUAAGCUGGUCUUCAGAAACAAGACAGCAGAGGAGGUUGUGGGAAGAGUCCACGGUUUUUAGAAGGACAUAUGUGUGCAGAUUAAACAAAACUGAGACCUGUGACCUUCAAGGAUGCUGAUGUGUAAUGCUGUAAGCUGACUGGAUUGGUGGAAAAAAGAAAAAGGUUGGUAAGAAUGUAUCCCAAAAUAUACCAUACUGUGCUGGGGUAGAAAAUGAGUAUCAUUUUUAAUAUAAUAGGUAGAAAUGUUCUUUUUCAAAUGUGACUGCUAUCACAUUUUUGUCUGAUUUUUUUUUUUUUAAGUGCAGACUUUUAAUCUUCCUAGGUGAUGCAACACCACCUUUGCUACCAUCUCUGCAACCUAGCAAAAUCCUGGCUACAUUUUGGUAUCUCUGCUUAUCUAUUGUGACUCACAAAAGAGCUUUUCCACUAGUACUGUGUACAAUCAAAGCUAAAAAUAAUUUUCUGUAAAGGGACAAAAACUCCAUCAGAUAGGAAGUGUUUUUAUUAAGCAUUGUGAGUUUGCUUUGCUUUGUUUUUAAUUUCAGGAGACUCAGUCAUAGAAACAGCUGCUUCUUUCAUACAAGACUUGCCCGGGAGCAAAUCAAUGCAUUUAAUUUGAUUCUGGAACUAGCUGCACAGUUAAUAAUGCCUCAAGACUGUAAGCAAAUCUCUAAAUCUGUAUCUCUAAUAUUCAGAUUCCCUUUCCCCGGAAAAAAAAAAAAUUAAAAAUUAAAAAAAUCUGCAUUUCAUCAAAUCCAUAUUAAGAAGGUUAUGCAAGCUAGUUAUAAGAGAAGAGGCCCAACCCUGGUGCUGUUCUGAGAAGCUGCAAAAAUAAGGUGUAGAAGUACCCCAAAGACUACGCUGCAUGUCGUCAUAGUCCUACAAGAUAGUCCGCUCUUAAAUGCGGAGAUGUAAGUAUGCUAUUUCAUGUAUGCUGGUGAUGGUCAUACCCAAUCCUUUGGGCUCUUGACUCUGUAGUGAUGUGCUCCUACAUGCUUUGGAUGGGGAGGCAGAAUAAGGGCAGAAAGCUUCUCCUUUUCAUUGUUUCUCUGCUCUGAUUUUUUGGAAAUGAUGGCACAUCCUGGACACAUUCAUGCUUUGCACGACUAC